This 265-nucleotide unclassified non-coding RNA is filed under the name uncultured bacterium. Its description in RNAcentral is "contains 16S-23S intergenic spacer region". The record is from RNAcentral.
UCCGAGUUGACCCCGGCAGUCUUCGAUGAGUCCCCGCCAUAACGCGCUGGCAACAUCGAGCGAGGGUUGCGCUCGUUGCGGGACUUAACCCAACAUCUCACGACACGAGCUGACGACAGCCAUGCAGCACCUGUCACCGGUCCAGCCGUACUGAAGAGGUCGAUCUCUCGUCCUCGCGACCGGGAUGUCAAGGGCUGGUAAGGUUCUUCGCGUUGCCUCGAAUUAAACCACAAGCGGCGGAGCAUGUGGCUUAAUUCGACGCAAC